GCGAAAGUGGCGGAAUUGGUAGACGCGCUGGUUUUAGGUACCAGUAGGAAAUAUCCUGUGAGAGUUCGAGUCUCUCCUUUCGCAUCA
This 87-nucleotide transfer RNA is filed under the name Gammaproteobacteria bacterium. RNAcentral's name for it is "tRNA-Leu". It matches the Rfam family "tRNA". From Rfam's summary of the family: Transfer RNA (tRNA) molecules are approximately 80 nucleotides in length. Their secondary structure includes four short double-helical elements and three loops (D, anti-codon, and T loops). The record is from RNAcentral. Lineage: Bacteria; Pseudomonadati; Pseudomonadota; Gammaproteobacteria.